GCCAGCCUCACCCGGCACAGUGAGCGGAGCGCCUGGGCGGCGGCGGCGGCGUGAUGGCUCCGGCCGCGGACCGGGAGGGCUUCUGGGGCCCCACGACCUCCACGCUGGACUGGUGCGAGGAGAACUACUCCGUGACUUGGUACAUCGCCGAGUUCUGGAAUACAGUGAGUAACCUGAUCAUGAUUAUACCUCCAAUGUUCGGUGCAAUUCAGAGUGUUAGAGACGGUCUGGAAAAACGGUACAUUGCUUCUUAUUUAGCACUCACAGUGGUAGGAAUGGGAUCCUGGUGCUUCCACAUGACUCUGAAAUAUGAAAUGCAGCUAUUGGAUGAACUCCCAAUGAUAUACAGCUGUUGCAUAUUUGUGUACUGCAUGUUUGAAUGUUUCAAGAUCAAGAACUCAGUAAACUACCAUCUGCUUUUUACCUUAGUUCUAUUCAGUUUAAUAGUAACCACAGUUUACCUUAAGGUAAAAGAGCCGAUAUUCCAUCAGGAGUCUCACUCUGUCAUCCAGGCUGAAGUGCAAUGGCACAAUCUCGGCUCAUUGGAA
Molecule: small RNA, 548 nt
Filed under: Pongo abelii (Sumatran orangutan)
Lineage: Eukaryota; Metazoa; Chordata; Mammalia; Primates; Hominidae
Description: processed transcript
Source: RNAcentral